Mus caroli (Ryukyu mouse) is the source of this 1613-nucleotide non-coding RNA. The record is from RefSeq and is a predicted model, not a curated record. NCBI's taxonomy places the organism in Eukaryota, Metazoa, Chordata, Mammalia, Rodentia, Muridae.
GAGGAUGGAGCUAGGGGCUGAGAAAGCUAGGGCAGAGCUCUAGUUCCCCGAAUUUUAGUGUGGGGGAGAGCUUGCUGUUGGGGAUCCAGACCUUAUAAAGGAGUUCUGGCCCACUUGUGAGAUUGGAGAGAAAGAUCUGAGGCUGUGACUCCAACGUCCUGGGGAAGAGGGAGCUUAAGAGACCCGCUUGAAGAUCCUGAGAGAAAGAAUGUGAGCCUGGGGAUGGGAGGGUCCUGAGCUCAGAGCAGGGGGACCUCCCUGCGCCUGAGGUCCGUGUCUGGGGACCUCUGCGCCUCACCUUCCAGAAUGCAAGGGGCGGGGUCACUCGGACUCGGUGGAAGAGGCCCCCGGACUUCCCUUCGGUGUGUCGGGUACAAGAUUUUGCAGCCUUUUAACGAGGAGGAAGCCCCGCCCACGGCUCCGCCUUCUGCCCGCACCUUGCUGCGGUGCGGCUGAACCCGCAAGCGCUCGAGGAGGGGCUCGAGCUGGAGUGACUUUAGGAGGAGGGGCUGGAGCCUCGGAAACCGAGAUUUAUGUUUGCAGAGCAAAAGAACCAGAUACCAAAGAAGACAAGAUAAACAGCCCAGAUGAUCCCACCUCACAGACUGACUCAAUAGCCGUUUCUUCAAGAAUCUGCAUCCAGAAUGACUUCAAGAUGGCUAAAUAAGAUAGACAUGUGACAUACCAGUUCCUGGCAACACCCCAUCUUACUUUAAAGAAGAUGAUGAGUAUCGAAGAAUCAGCAUGUGGAGUUUGCUUCAAUGUGGCAAGCUGCCAUCAGGCAAAAAAAAACUGCUCUAGCUUCCACUGUAGACAGCAUGUUAUCCAAACUUGACAAACAGGACAUGGAAGAAGUCGACUGCUGGACUUUGCAAGGACGAGGUAGACAAGGCUCUCAUUGGCCUGAGGAUAGCUUGAGGAAGUCCCGGGUAUCCUCCUGUUUCCACCUCUCCAUCCCUGGGAUUACAGAUGUACUACCAUGCCCUGCUUUUUAUAUGGGUUCUGGGGAUGGAACUCAGUACUCACAUCUUGGAGAUGGACUAUAGAUUUCUAGAUGUGGCAGUACCUUGACCCACUGAGCCAUCACUGCAGCCCAGAUUACAUAGUAUGUACAGACUAUGAAUAACCUGCCAGUUGGAAUAAAUGAAUUCAAUAAAGUUGCAGGACAUAAAACCAACACACAAAAAUAAAUUGUGUUUCUCCACACUAACAACAAAGUACAAGAAAAACGAAGACAUGAGUUCAGUUCCCAGCACCCACAUUAGGUGACUCAUAACCUCCUGUAACUCCAGCCCUAAGGGGUUCCAACAACCUCUUCUGGCCUCAUCAGGGACAAUAAGACAUUUGGAAGCAGAUGUCUUUGGAUGAAGAUAUUGAUGCAGAGCAUUUGCGCUCCAGCCUCUGGGCUCAGUGAGUCUCAAACGGUGACAACAAGCUGUGAGAGAGAUUCCAGAGCCAAGACCCAGGGAAGGAAGGUGGAGCCUGGAAUAAAGGCAAAGCUAUUGGGUCUGAGGGAGGAAGCUGGUCUGAGAGAAGGAGCCAGGGACCUGGGGGGGCCUGGGCCUGAAGUAAGGGGCUAGGGACUGGAGUCUCACGAGAAGAAGAAGAAGAAG